This 357-nucleotide ribosomal RNA is filed under the name Triticum aestivum (bread wheat). Its description in RNAcentral is "partial small subunit ribosomal RNA". Lineage: Eukaryota; Viridiplantae; Streptophyta; Magnoliopsida; Poales; Poaceae. The record is from RNAcentral.
AUGUGCAGCGCCACGCCACGCCAUGCCGUGUGCUCCUCCGCCGCGAGCCGCCUUCCCUCCCCUCCCCUCCUACACUCGCACACUGUGCCGCGCUGUGCUCCCCGGAACGUGUUGACUAAUGCUUCGCCAGCCAGGUGCCCCCUCCACGCCUCGCCCAUCUCUUCCCCCAAUCGGACAGCUGGCCCCGCCCGCGAGGGUGGGUUUCAUUCACCGUGCGUGCGUGCGAGGAGUUGGAGCCCAGGAGGAGGAGGAGGAGGGAGAGUGCUCGCCGUCGCCGGGCCCCUUGGUCGUCGGCUCAUCGCCGUCCCGUCCUCGCCGUCGCGCCGAUUGCGUGGACUUUUGCAACUAGUACUGUAA